AAAAAGACAAACCCUGAAUUUACGUGUCCAACUUUAACUGUCCGUCUUAUAUGAUUUUUUUAUAAUUCGUAUUUUUAUUGUUGUUAGAUGAUAAAACAUGAUUAAUACUUUGUGCGUGACUUGUCUUUUUAAUUUUUUUCAUAAUUUUUUCAAAUAAGACGGACGGUUAAAUAUUGGGCACGAAAACCAGGGUUUGUCUUUUU
This is a non-coding RNA of Oryza meridionalis, 203 nucleotides long. NCBI's taxonomy places the organism in Eukaryota, Viridiplantae, Streptophyta, Magnoliopsida, Poales, Poaceae. The record is from Rfam.